This 468-nucleotide ribosomal RNA is filed under the name uncultured bacterium. Its description in RNAcentral is "partial 16S ribosomal RNA". It matches the Rfam family "Bacterial small subunit ribosomal RNA", at positions 28 to 507 of the family's 1533-position model. The record is from RNAcentral.
GACGAACGCUGGCGGCGUGCUUAACACAUGCAAGUCGAACGGAAAGGCCCUGCUUUUGUGGGGUGCUCGAGUGGCGAACGGGUGAGUAACACGUGAGUAACCUGCCCUUGACUUUGGUAUAACUUCAGGAAACUGGGGCUAAUACCGGAUAGGAGCUCCUGCUGCAUGGUGGGGGUUGGAAAUUUUCGGCGGUUGGGGAUGGACUCGCGGCUUAUCAGCUUGUUGGUGGGGUAGUGGCUUACCAAGGCUUUGACGGGUAGCCGGCCUGAGAGGGUGACCGGCCACAGUGGGACUGAGAGACGGCCAAGACGCCUACGGGAGGCAGCAGUGGGGAGUAUUGCACAAUGGGCGGAAGCCUGAUGCAGCAACGCCGCGUGCGGGAUGACGGCCUUCGGGUUGUAAACCGCUUUCGCCUGUGACGAAGCGUGAGUGACGGUAAUGGGUAAAGAAGCACCGGCUAACUACGUG